Molecule: ribosomal RNA, 230 nt
Filed under: uncultured bacterium
Lineage: Bacteria
Description: partial 16S ribosomal RNA
Rfam family: Bacterial small subunit ribosomal RNA
Source: RNAcentral
CGGACGGGUGAGUAAUGUCUGGGAAACUGCCUGAUGGAGGGGGAUAACUACUGGAAACGGUAGCUAAUACCGCAUAACGUCGCAAGACCAAAGAGGGGGACCUUCGGGCCUCUUGCCAUCGGAUGUGCCCAGAUGGGAUUAGCUAGUAGGUGGGGUAACGGCUCACCUAGGCGACGAUCCCUAGCUGGUCUGAGAGGAUGCCAGCCACACUGGAACUGAGACACGGUCCA